UACAGGGGGGGCAAGCGUUGUUCGGAAUUACUGGGCGUAAAGGGUCAGUAGGCGGCCAACUAAGUCCGACGUGAAAUCCCAAAGCUUAACUUUGGAACUGCGUCGGAUACUGGAUGGCUUGAAUUCGGGAGAGGAACGCGGAAUUCCAGGUGUAGCGGUGAAAUGCGUAGAUAUCUGGAGGAACACCAAUGGCGAAGGCAGCCCCCUGGGUCGAUACUGACGCUCAUGCACGAAAGCGUGGGUAGCAAACAGG
RNAcentral lists this ribosomal RNA (253 nucleotides) under uncultured bacterium. RNAcentral's name for it is "partial 16S ribosomal RNA". It matches the Rfam family "Bacterial small subunit ribosomal RNA", at positions 524 to 776 of the family's 1533-position model. The record is from RNAcentral.